AUGCAUGGUCGGAGAGGAGCUACCACUUGCGAGGGACGCACCAUCGAUGCAAUGUCAAGUUUCAGAGUGAUCUGCGUGCUCUACCAUGAAUUCACAGGGAUAUCUGGUAACAUUGGCACAGCCAAGGCCUUUGUCUUCGAAGAGCGCCGGAUGGGGAAGCGUGGCUGGUUCGUCUGGCAGCAAGUGACGCACAAGCCUCAAAUCCACCUUCAUGGCAUGGAAUCUCUGCAUUUCAUUGGUCGUCCAUCAUUUUCUCUUUUCUGGUCCAUGGAAGAUGACCAUUCCUCCUUGCUAGCCUAUAAUUUCCGGUGGCCAAACGAGUUUGAGAUCGUCCCACUUCCGGGCCACAUCCGAGGGUCAGCUUUGCGAGUCAUGGAUAUCAACAACACCAACUUGGUGCAUGUUGUUUGCUUGCAGGGCGACAACCUUAGCAUCUUUGCGCAAAGGACAUACCAUAGCACCGAUUGGGUGCUUCGGAAGAGCCUCCAAUUAAUGGAGGCUACUCGUGAACUGGCAGGGCACAAGGAUGAGCACUUUCGUGGGUCUACCAAGAUCGUCUCAACCAGCAUGAGCUCUAUUGUGUUUUCUCCGGCGGAGGAGACAUGGCUAUUCUCCAUUGACUUUGAGACCAUGGAGGUGGCGAAAUGCAAAUACAAGGCGCAUUCUUCUACAUGUGUGGCUUAUCCGUGUGAGCUUCCAUGGCUACCUGCCCUUCGUGCUUGUAUUGUGCGUUGUUCAAGAAGGGGGCGUGGCCGAUGUUCCGAUAUUUGUAUAUGUUGA
This 780-nucleotide ribosomal RNA is filed under the name Triticum aestivum (bread wheat). RNAcentral's name for it is "partial small subunit ribosomal RNA". Lineage: Eukaryota; Viridiplantae; Streptophyta; Magnoliopsida; Poales; Poaceae. The record is from RNAcentral.